CAAUCGGCCCUCUUCAGGGCCAACAAGUGUGCACUAAAGAGUUAUU
Molecule: non-coding RNA, 46 nt
Organism: Aedes aegypti (yellow fever mosquito)
Lineage: Eukaryota; Metazoa; Arthropoda; Insecta; Diptera; Culicidae
Source: Rfam